Molecule: ribosomal RNA, 433 nt
Filed under: uncultured bacterium
Lineage: Bacteria
Description: bacterial SSU rRNA
Rfam family: Bacterial small subunit ribosomal RNA
Source: RNAcentral
GCCUAACACAUGCAAGUCGAACGAGAAAGGGGACUUCGGUCCCUGAGUACAGUGGCGCACGGGUGAGUAACACGUGACUUAUCUACCCUCGAGUGGGGAAUAACUUCGGGAAACCGAGGCUAAUACCGCAUAAUACCCACGGGUCAAAGGAGCAAUUCGCUUGAGGAGGAGGUCGCGGCCGAUUAGUUAGUUGGCGGGGUAAUGGCCCCACCCAAGACGGUGAUCGGUAUCCGGCCUGAGAGGGCGCACGGACACACUGGAACUGAAACACGGUCCAGACUCCUACGGGAGGCAGCAGUGGGGAAUUUUGCGCAAUGGGGGAAACCCUGACGCAGCAACGCCGCGUGGAGGAUGAAGUCUCUUGGGACGUAAACUCCUUUCGAUCGGGACGAUUAUGACGGUACCGGAAGAAGAAGCCCCGGCUAACUUCGUG